RNAcentral lists this ribosomal RNA (454 nucleotides) under Serratia liquefaciens. RNAcentral describes it as "bacterial SSU rRNA". It matches the Rfam family "Bacterial small subunit ribosomal RNA", at positions 1 to 453 of the family's 1533-position model. Lineage: Bacteria; Pseudomonadati; Pseudomonadota; Gammaproteobacteria; Enterobacterales; Yersiniaceae. The record is from RNAcentral.
UAAUUGAAGAGUUUGAUCAUGGCUCAGAUUGAACGCUGGCGGCAGGCCUAACACAUGCAAGUCGAGCGGUAGCACAGGGAGCUUGCUCCUGGGUGACGAGCGGCGGACGGGUGAGUAAUGUCUGGGAAACUGCCUGAUGGAGGGGGAUAACUACUGGAAACGGUAGCUAAUACCGCAUAACGUCUACGGACCAAAGUGGGGGACCUUCGGGCCUCAUGCCAUCAGAUGUGCCCAGAUGGGAUUAGCUAGUAGGUGGGGUAAUGGCUCACCUAGGCGACGAUCCCUAGCUGGUCUGAGAGGAUGACCAGCCACACUGGAACUGAGACACGGUCCAGACUCCUACGGGAGGCAGCAGUGGGGAAUAUUGCACAAUGGGCGCAAGCCUGAUGCAGCCAUGCCGCGUGUGUGAAGAAGGCCUUCGGGUUGUAAAGCACUUUCAGCGAGGAGGAAGGGU